RNAcentral lists this ribosomal RNA (484 nucleotides) under uncultured bacterium. RNAcentral's name for it is "partial 16S ribosomal RNA". It matches the Rfam family "Bacterial small subunit ribosomal RNA", at positions 30 to 507 of the family's 1533-position model. The record is from RNAcentral.
AUUGAACGCUGGCGGCAGGCCUAACACAUGCAAGUCGAGCGGAUGAAGGGAGCUUGCUCCUGGAUUCAGCGGCGGACGGGUGAGUAAUGCCUAGGAAUCUGCCUGGUAGUGGGGGCUAACGUCCGGAAACGGGCGCUAAUCCCGCAUACGUCCUGAGGAUGAAAGUGGGGGUUCUUCGGACCUCACCCUUCCAGAUGACCCUAGGUCGGAUUAGCUAGUUGGUGGGGUAAAGGCCUACCAAGGCGACGAUCCGUAACUGGUCUGAGAGGAUGAUCAGUCACACUGGAACUGAGACACGGUCCAGACUCCUACGGGAGGCAGCAGUGGGGAAUAUUGGACAAUGGGCGAAAGCCUGAUCCAGCCAUGCCGCGUGUGUGAAGAAGGUCUUCGGAUUGUAAAGCACUUUAAGUUGGGAGGAAGGGCAGUAAGUUAAUACCUUGCUGUUUUGACGUUACCAACAGAAUAAGCACCGGCUAACUUCGUG